Molecule: ribosomal RNA, 301 nt
Filed under: uncultured bacterium
Lineage: Bacteria
Description: partial 16S ribosomal RNA
Rfam family: Bacterial small subunit ribosomal RNA
Source: RNAcentral
CAGUCGCCACGGUAAUACGUAGGGUGCGAGCGUUAAUCGGAAUUACUGGGCGUAAAGCGUGCGCAGGCGGUUAUGUAAGACAGUUGUGAAAUCCCCGGGCUCAACCUGGGAACUGCAUCUGUGACUGCAUAGCUAGAGUACGGUAGAGGGGGAUGGAAUUCCGCGUGUAGCAGUGAAAUGCGUAGAUAUGCGGAGGAACACCGAUGGCGAAGGCAAUCCCCUGGACCUGUACUGACGCUCAUGCACGAAAGCGUGGGGAGCAAACAGGAUUAGAUACCCCCGUAGUCCCUGUCUCUUAUAC